GAGGAUUUAGCUCAGUGGCAUAAGCACCUGCCUUGCAAGCAGGCGGUUGUGAGUUCAAUCCCUGGUUUAUCUCA
RNAcentral lists this transfer RNA (74 nucleotides) under Cavia porcellus (domestic guinea pig). It matches the Rfam family "tRNA". From Rfam's summary of the family: Transfer RNA (tRNA) molecules are approximately 80 nucleotides in length. The record is from Rfam by way of RNAcentral. Lineage: Eukaryota; Metazoa; Chordata; Mammalia; Rodentia; Caviidae.